RNAcentral lists this unclassified non-coding RNA (345 nucleotides) under soil metagenome. Its description in RNAcentral is "partial contains 5.8S ribosomal RNA, internal transcribed spacer 2, and large subunit ribosomal RNA". The stretch from base 1 to 119 matches the Rfam family "5.8S ribosomal RNA", at positions 35 to 154 of the family's 154-position model. The record is from RNAcentral.
GAUGAAGAACGUAGCGAAAUGCGAUACGUAAUGUGAAUUGCAAAUUCAGUGAAUCAUCGAGUCUUUGAACGCACAUUGCGCCCCCUGGUAUUCCGGGGGGCAUGCCUGUCCGAGCGUCAUUGCUGCCCUCAAGCACGGCUUGUGUGUUGGGCCCCGUCCUCCGAUCCCGGGGGACGGGCCCGAAAGGCAGCGGCGGCACCGCGUCCGGCCCUCGAGCGUAUGGGGCUUUGUCACCCGCUCUGUAGGCCCGGCCGGCGCUUGCCGAUCAACCCAAAUUUUUAUCCAGGUUGACCUCGGAUCAGGUAGGGAUACCCGCUGAACUUAAGCAUAUCAAUAAGCGGAGGA